Long non-coding RNA from Sapajus apella (tufted capuchin), 2109 nucleotides. RefSeq lists it as uncharacterized. The record is from RefSeq and is a predicted model, not a curated record. NCBI's taxonomy places the organism in Eukaryota, Metazoa, Chordata, Mammalia, Primates, Cebidae. The transcript has 2 exons.
AGGGUCCGGGCCACCCUAGUCCGCAGUGAGCAAGGGACCCACAGGCUGUGGCUUGGGGCUGUUUAACAUUUCCACAGACCGCGACUGUCUUCCCCAAACUGUCCACCACGACAGAUGUUUGCACUUGUCUGCAAUAUGGGAACCCUCACCAAUUUGUGUUUGGAGGCGCUGAGUCUUGGAUGCGGAGUUUUGAGAGCCUUCGGAGCCCCCAUGCUGGCUGCUUUGUGCUACGUGUCCCUGGAAAUCAUCUCACACCUGGGUUCAUAAAGCAGGAACGCUGCAGGUGGGAAAUGCAUUCCUCAUCAAGCACUGAAAAUCAGACACGUUCCAGACGCAUUCCGGUGUUGCCAACAGCGUCACAGAGGCAGAUACAGCGGGCCAUUAUGCAGAAUUCCAUGCGGGAGAGCUUCCCAAGAACCCACUCCAGCAGAACCCACUCCAGCCUCCUAAAGGAAAGAUCUCUCUCCUGAAGCCCCAUGGACCUUUAGAGAAUCCUGCUCAAGGGGAGGACUUACUGAGACAGGAAGAAAGUGAACUUUUACAUUAUUUUUUCAGAAGAACACACUGCAGGCAUCAGCCACGCUUGAACCCUCGGAGGACGUGUGUUUUUCCUCCGGGGAAAGCCUGUGAGAGAUGGAACAGCCCCUGCAGUGACUUCUCAAGCUGCUUCUGCUAGGAAAAAAAGCUCCUGCCUCCUUAUUGAAUCUAAGAUAACAAACUCGGUGACUUUGAAAGCCUGCUUCCGGAGUCUAUCGAUGAAAACAAUUAACCAACUGCAGAACUAGUGGUUUAAAUUUAAGGCCACUUUUAUUAUUUUAGAAAAUGCUUUUUCCAAUUACAAUGUAAUCCAGGGAAGACACUGUUAUGGCACAAAAAUUGUUUUAGUAAGAGUCUUGUAAAUAUAUGAGCUAAAUGAACAUUUACACACCAAACAGCUUUAAAUAUAGCACUUUCUGGAAACAGUUUGCUGCUUUGAGUGUUAUUCAAAUCCCUAACAUGUUCGCCUUGUUAUGAUGUUCUGUAAUGUGCAGGGGAAAAAAUCUUUUGGGUAGUCAGAAACCUUAGCGUGAUCAACCCAAGAUUUGCACCAUAAUAUAAAAUUAGGAAGAAAAGUGCCUUCCCUGACCUUAAAUGUACCAUGUCCACAUGUUGUACUAAAGGUUAUUUAGGAUAGCCUCAACUUGUGGGGGCGGUGGGUGGUGAAGGUGGCAGGACUCUAUUCAUCUUUAGAAAAUACAUUUACUCUCUUAAAUCAUGCAAUACUCUAAGUAUUAUUUUGGUGGAGAUUCAUGAAUUGGUGUCACAAAUAUCGGAAGUUCAAAAAAUUCAGAAAAAAGGGCUUUAUUCAUUAAUACAAAAUAAUUAAAGAAAGUAUUAAUAAUACAUUUUAAAAACCCUAAAGCGAAAGGAGACCUAAACCCUAUUGGGGUUAAUUUUUUAUAAAGUGAAUGUUUAUAUUCAUAGUUAUUAUUCUAGGUAUUCUUGUGUAGGAAUUCUAUGUUAUAUCAACUUACUUGUCCAGAUCAAAGAAAUCCAGGAUAAAUGAGAGAUAUGCUGGCCCUCCUAUUUUUCUUUUGUAAAUUUAAGGAUUUCUUGGUGUAAAUUUUAUUAAAAAAUACAAGAAUAACUCAGUAAAACAAAGUUUAAAAAGGAGAAAUGAGUCAUUAUAAGAAAUGGUUUUAGAAUUUUAAAAAAUGAAUUUUGGUAUUGUAUAGUGAUGUUCAAUAUUUUAUAAAAACAAGGAUAUAAGAAGUCAUUGUAUACAGCAGCUUAAAAACCAUGUAUGUAAAUGUAAUAGAUAUAGCAUUUGAGUUUUAAAAUAGGCUUAGAGAUUUUUUAAAUUUUUCUAUUAAAUCCAGAGUAAAAUAGUUUCAGUGAAAUUUCCAGGGUAGAAAAAAAAAAAGGUCUGGAAUCUUGCCCACAGAGAGAGGCAAUUUCUAUUUUUAUUGCACGUUUCAAUGUCUUAAAGGACUAGUGAAGUAGAGAACAAUUCCACACUGUCUGAGAGAGAAGGCCCCAGCCUUUAGAAUCAUGGAUACCUCAGAGAGUAGCAGGAUGCAAGACAUGCUUUCAUUGCUUACAUGAGCUGAAAUCAGCAUGCUAACCUGA